CUCACUUUUCAAUGGUCAAAACUGCUGUCAAUUCUUAGAAAUGACCGAUAAUUGGUCAGGAGAAAAUACUCCCAUCAGCCUCCAGCAGCUUCAACUUCCUUAGCUCCCAAAGCUGUCUUAAAGGUAAAGUAACCCUUUGACAGUGUGAUUUCCUCCCCCUUAUCCCAACAUGCACACUAAUAUUACAUUAGGCAUUUUGUGCAUUUCCUCCUGUGCUGAUCAGAGGAGGGAGAGAGGAGCACAUGAGAUCCAGGUGGCCACAGAAGACAUACUUAUGUCCAAAAACUGGAGAAAAACCAUGAAGAGUUAAAUAAGGUAAACUACCUCAUCUCAUUUGUCGUGGUGGAAGUUUAUCCAGCCAAUGGAAUAAUAGCCUGAACUUGGUGAUAAAUUCAAAGCACAAGAAAAAACAACAGCAAAAACUAAUCAACCUAAAAAAAAACACUUGAUUCAUGAGAGGGCUAAACUACAGAUGAAAUUCUACUCCCUUCUUCAGAUAAUGGGUAAAACAAACCAGUGUUUUCUUUAUGGAGGUAAGUGUGCUAGGAAAUAAUCUUGCCUAAAAUUCAUGAUUUAAAAUUUAGUCAGGUACCCUCAAGCUCUGCUAUGAAAGACCUCUUUCAAUGCCACAAGUCUUUAUUAGUUUUUGCUAAGGCUUAGAAGUUUCAAUAUUUUUACCUAAGAGACACACCUGAGUGCUUAUUGAAGAAAGCUUUUGAUUUUCCUUCUUUUGAGAAAAAU
Molecule: long non-coding RNA, 741 nt
Filed under: Parus major (Great Tit)
Lineage: Eukaryota; Metazoa; Chordata; Aves; Passeriformes; Paridae
Description: lncRNA (ENSPMJG00000013837.1)
Source: RNAcentral